AUUGAACGCUGGCGGCAGGCCUAACACAUGCAAGUCGAGCGGUAGCACAGAGAGCUUGCUCUCGGGUGACGAGCGGCGGACGGGUGAGUAAUGUCUGGGAAACUGCCUGAUGGAGGGGGAUAACUACUGGAAACGGUAGCUAAUACCGCAUAAUGUCGCGAGACCAAAGUGGGGGACCUUCGGGCCUCAUGCCAUCAGAUGUGCCCAGAUGGGAUUAGCUAGUAGGUGGGGUAAUGGCUCACCUAGGCGACGAUCCCUAGCUGGUCUGAGAGGAUGCCCAGCCACACUGGAACUGAGACACGGUCCAGACUCCUACGGGAGGCAGCAGUGGGGAAUAUUGCACAAUGGGCGCAAGCCUGAUACAGCCAUGCCGCGUGUGUGAAGAAGGCCUUCGGGUUGUAAAGCACUUUCAGCGGGGAGGAAGGCGGUGAGGUUAAUAACCUCAUCGAUUGACGUUACCCGCAGAAGAAGCACCGGCUAACUCCGUGCCAGCCGCCGCGGUAA
RNAcentral lists this ribosomal RNA (504 nucleotides) under uncultured bacterium. Its description in RNAcentral is "partial 16S ribosomal RNA". It matches the Rfam family "Bacterial small subunit ribosomal RNA", at positions 30 to 523 of the family's 1533-position model. The record is from RNAcentral.